GUCAAAACCAUUCAAUGGUCAACUCUCAAGUCCCCCACCGGGCCCACGGUUCACACUAACUCCGGUUCAAGCUGUCCCAAAGAGUGGAACAUUGCCGCCGGGCGAACCCGACCCGGUUCUUUUCCAAAUCAUAAACUACCUCAAAACCCUGUUGUUGGUAGUUCCCAAGCGUGGCCCCGGGCCCACCUGCCAGCUCAACCUCAUCUCCACCGUUCAUCAGCAUCAAACACCCAACUUUUCUUUUCCUCCCCACCCCAUCUCCACUGUCCAAAAACUCAUAGAAAUAAUUCUUCCUAGGAAGCACGACACUGGAUUGUUCCCCAACGAAAUGCAACACGACACGUGGCACUUCAACUGAGCCCUCAUAGUAGUAGCAAGGGCUCAAACCGAUACUUUCUUCAAUCCGUCUUGCCCGGUUCGCAACUCUUCCGGUCCGGUUCUCAAACUCCG
This 450-nucleotide unclassified non-coding RNA is filed under the name Hevea brasiliensis (rubber tree). The record is from RNAcentral. Lineage: Eukaryota; Viridiplantae; Streptophyta; Magnoliopsida; Malpighiales; Euphorbiaceae.